CUCAUACUUGAAUGAGUUUCUAUGCAAAGACUCAGAACUUAAAGAGUGCCAGGGAUAUGUCCUGGGUUAUAUAUAAUGGAUGCCUGAAAGCCCAAAACACAUGAGGUAAAAAGAAAAAUUAGUUACUCUCAGUGUAAGAACUAAGAGAAUUAUCUAACUGAUCCUGAAGAGCCACCAUUCAAUUGACUUUGAAGAAGGAGGUUUUCACCUAACACCAGCCAUCUGUGGACUUGAGAAGUCAGCCCAGUGGAGCUUGGGGAACCUAACUGGUCUCCAAUCACUAUGCUGUUAAAGUGUUUUUAAGAGAGGAUAAACAGAAUGUACAUCAUGGUCCCUGGCACAUGAUAAAUCCUGCCUAAUUUUCAAGAAAAAUAAUAUAGCACCCACUUCUCUGCAGGAGAUAUUGUCUGAUAUAAAAAGUACACAACAUAACAACUUUGCAUGGACUUAUUACACCUACACUUUGAUGUAGACAAUAACUGUUAAAGGAAAAGAUUAAUUUUAAAAACAAACCUUGGCCUAAACCUCACCCCUUAUACAAAAUGUGACUCAAAAUAGAUCACAGAUUUAAUUGUAAAAUUUUCUUGAUUUUAAAUAACAACAAAGGGAAAAAUCAUCAGAACUAGGACUUAGUGGAGAGUUUUUAGACAUGAUUUAAAAACCCGUAAAAGAAAAAAACUUGACAAACUAGAUUUCAUCAAAACUUAAAACUUUUGCUCUGUGAAAGACCCUGUUAAGACAAUGAAGAGACAAACUAUGGGCUGGGAGAAAAAAAUUUGUAAAUCACAUAUGAGACAACUCAUACCUAGGAUAUAUACAGAACUCUCAAUAGUAAAAAAAAAUAAAAUAAAAUAAAUAACCCAAUAAAAAUGGGUAAAAUAUACAAAGACAUUCCACCAAAGAGUGUAUAUAUAAAGGGCAAACAAGAAUAUGAAAAUAUAUCCAACCUCACCAGCCUUUAGGAAAAUGCCAGUUAAGAUUAUCCCUAUACACAAAUUAGGCAAUCCAAAUGAAAAGUAGUGACCCCAUCAAGAUACUGGUGAGGAUGCAAAGAAACAGGAUUGCUCAUACAUUGCUGAUAGGAAAGCAAAAUGGUACAACCACUCUGAAAAAUAGUUCGGCAGUUUCUUAAAAAACUAAACACACAUUUACUAAACACACAGCUGAACAAGUGCACUCAUGGCGUUUAUCUCACAGAAAUAAAAUGAUGGCCAUUCAAAGGCCUGUACAUGAUUGUUCACAGUAGCUUUUUUUGUAAUAACUUGAAAAUAGAAAUAACCAAAAUGUCUCUUAGUAGGUAAAUAGUUAAACUGUGUUACACCUAUGCCAUAGUUUUCUACUCAACAAUAAAAAAACAAUUUGCGACAACUUGGAUGGAUCUCAAGAGCAUUACAUUGAUUAAAAAGAAACGAAUCUAAAAAGUUCACAUACCAUAUGAUUCAUUUAUAUAACAUUCAUGAAAAAUGACAAAAUUAUAGAAGUGGAAAACAGAUUAGUAGGUGCCAAGGGUUGAGGAGGGUGUGAAAGGGAAGGUUGUAACUAUAAAAAAGAAGCCCUAGGAAGGUCUUCGUGGUUUGUGGUGGUGGUUAUGUCAAUUUAGACAGGGGUGAUAAAAUGACAUGGAACUAUAUAACACACUAUAGCAUACCAAUGUCAAUUUCCUGGUUUUGAUAUUACACUCUUAUUAUAUAAGAUGUAACCAUGGCAGGAAAUGAAGUAAAAGGUACAUAGGACCUGUAUAUACUCUCUUGCAACUUCUCGUAAAUUGUUAUUUUUUUCAAAAUAAAGUUUCUUUUUAAAAAACUAUAUUAUUCUAGUUUGAACUGCCACAGAUCAUUCUAGACUGAAUGCCACAGUCCCUCCCCUUGGAAAGGUCUCCACCUGAACUUAGAACUCACUCCAUCACUAACUGCCUUGGAAGCUCUAGUUCUACCCCCAUUUGCUUUCAUUUUGCUCUUCCAGUGUCUCUUAGCUUCAGAAGAAUUUGGCAGCCACAUCCUCAUGGAUUUGACCCUCAACCUCAUUCUUUCUGAAGAAAGAAGGAAAAUUUUUCCACUCUUCUAAAGUUCUGAUGUUGGUGGAAAUUCAAGUUAUUAGAAACUGCUGCCCAAUAACGGAAGGAAAUGUGGUAGAGAAAACACUUGUUUGAAUGCUAGAGGCCUAGAUUAACUCUUCAGGCCACCUUGGCCAAAUCCCUUUUCCUCAGUCACCCGAUACAUUAAAUGUGGAGGCUUAACUGUGUAAUUUAUAUGUCAGCCUCCCAUCCAUUACUACUGCCCUCAAGGCACUAUGAGAAAAAGAAGAGCUAAAUUUCAGAGGAAAAUCUUACUAUCUUGAAACUCUGAAAGGCAGAAAAUCAGUUCUAGAAUGUACUUUCAUUUAAUCAUCUCCCUGUCACCAUUAUUUUAGGGAAAAUUACGAUAGCCAGUUGGAAUAAGUCACAAAUGGAAGGAAAAUGCUUCAGGAAAAAUUGUAGAAAGAAAGGGACAAAACUUUUCAAGGCAUUGUGCCAACUACAUCUCCAGGCUAAAUGACCCUUUGCUCAAGACAGAAUUGUUCUUGGGGAGGAAGAAAAACAAAACAAACAAAACAAAACAGUGUUCUGUUAUUUGGACUUAUCUUCCCUAUUCAUUUGAUUCAUUCAUAUAUUCACUCUGGUGACAGCUCAGGGCAACUCAGAAAAGACUGCCUCUGGCAACCAUGGAAGUAAAGGCGUUUCCUGUGCCUGCAUCCUUUGGGGCCACUCCUGCUGUUGCUGUGAAAGAAUUUUAAAGCAUUUUUUUCAAUCAAGGAAGGAAGCAAAAGAUCCCCGGCCUGUGAAUGAGCUGAGGACAUUUCUCCAAAGGAAUCAAUGAAAGACAAUAAAGGGUCAUUUGGCCCUAAGGGACACCCUGGAAUAAAACACAGAAUCUCUAGCAACCUACU
This is a long non-coding RNA of Canis lupus familiaris (dog), 2925 nucleotides long. RefSeq lists it as uncharacterized. NCBI's taxonomy places the organism in Eukaryota, Metazoa, Chordata, Mammalia, Carnivora, Canidae. The record is from RefSeq and is a predicted model, not a curated record. The transcript is spliced from 3 exons.